CUGCCCACCACCACCACCACAAUCAGUGACCAGACGUCCAUUUCAUCACCAGACACGAGACCUGGGAAAACGGUGACCGCCCCGCUUGCCCCACCUAGUCUACCAGCUCCACCUGCUCAGUGAAAGGUUUGAGGUGGACGUGUCGGAGGAUAUGGGUGGUGAAGUCACGGCGCAGGUUACCCACACCUUUCACCACGCUAACUGGCCGCAGCUUUUCACUGAGGUCGGGCAGGCCUGUAUCUCCGUGUUCUGCUCUAGAAAUGUGAGUAAAGUAAGGUGUGGUGUUUGUUGUUGUUGUUCUUUUUCUGUUAAGAUUAUUUUGGUCUCUCUCUCUCUCUCUCUCUC
This is a long non-coding RNA of Portunus trituberculatus (swimming crab), 345 nucleotides long. RefSeq lists it as uncharacterized. The record is from RefSeq and is a predicted model, not a curated record. Lineage: Eukaryota; Metazoa; Arthropoda; Malacostraca; Decapoda; Portunidae. The transcript has 3 exons.